GGUACAGAGUCAAUGUGGAGGCUAUAUACAGGGGGUACCGGUACAGAGUCAAUGUGGAGGCUAUAUACAGGGGGUAUCGGUACAGACUCAAUGUGGAGGCUAUAUACAGGGGGUACCGGUACAGAGUCAAUGUGGAGGCUAUAUACAGUGGGUACCGGUACAGAGUCAAUGUGGAGGCUAUAUACAGUGGGUACCGGUACAGAGUCAAUGUGGAGGCUAUAUACAGGGGGUACCGGUACAGAGUCAAUGUGGAGGCUAUAUACAGGGGGUACCGGUACAGAGUCAAUGUGGAGGCUAUAUACAGGGGGUACCGGUACAGAGUCAAUGCGGAGGCUAUAUACAGGGAGUAGUUGUACAGAGUCAAUGUGGAGGCUAUAUACAGGGGGGUACCGGUACAGAGUCAAUGUGGAGGCUAUAUACAGGGGGUACCGGUACAGAGUCAAUGUGGAGGCUAUAUACAGGGGGUACCGGUACAAAGUCAAUGUGGAGGCUAUAUACAGGGGGUACCGGUACAGAGUCAAUGUGGAGGCUAUAUACAGGGGGUACCGGUACAGAGUCAAUGUGGAGGCUAUAUACAGGGGGUACCGGCACAGAGUCAAUGUGGAGGCUAUAUACAGGGGGUACCGGUACAAAGUCAAUGUGGAGGCUAUAUACAG
This 656-nucleotide long non-coding RNA is filed under the name Salmo salar (Atlantic salmon). Its description in RNAcentral is "lncRNA (ENSSSAG00000089940.1)". Lineage: Eukaryota; Metazoa; Chordata; Actinopteri; Salmoniformes; Salmonidae. The record is from RNAcentral.